CCCUUAGAUGUUCUGGGCUGCACGCGCGCUACACUGAAGCUAUCAACACGUUUUCCCUCCCUGAGAAGGGCGGGUAACCUUUUGAAUCAGCUUCGUGGUAGGGAUCGGGGCUUGCAAUUGUUCCCCGUGAACCAGGAAUUCCUAGUAGACGCGAGUCAUAAGCUCGCAUCGAUUAAGUCCCUGCCCUUUGUACACACCGCCCGUCGCUACUACCGAUUGAACGUUUUAGUGAGGCAUUUGGACCGACGCAUCUCAGUUUAACCGCUGGUUUGUGUUGGAAAGACUUCCGAACUUGAGCGUUUAGAGGAAGUAAAAGUCGUAACA
Molecule: ribosomal RNA, 324 nt
Filed under: uncultured eukaryote
Lineage: Eukaryota
Description: partial 18S ribosomal RNA
Rfam family: Eukaryotic small subunit ribosomal RNA
Source: RNAcentral